UACAGAGGUCUCAAGCGUUGUUCGGAUUCAUUGGGCGUAAAGGGUGCGUAGGCGGCGCGGUAAGUCGGGUGUGAAAUCUCGGAGCUUAACUCCGAAACUGCAUUCGAUACUGCCGUGCUUGAGGACUGGAGAGGAGACUGGAAUUUACGGUGUAGCGGUGAAAUGCGUAGAUAUCGUAAGGAAGACCAGUGGCGAAGGCGGGUCUCUGGACAGUUCCUGACGCUGAGGCACGAAAGCGUGGGGAGCAAACGGG
Molecule: ribosomal RNA, 253 nt
Filed under: uncultured bacterium
Lineage: Bacteria
Description: partial 16S ribosomal RNA
Rfam family: Bacterial small subunit ribosomal RNA
Source: RNAcentral